GGUUGGGGGGAGUCUUAGGGAAACAGCCGGCCUGGCGCUGGCCUGGCGCUGGCCGGGUGCUGGGCAGGCCGAGGCUGCCCGCGGGAGCUGGUUUUGUUUCUUCCCCUCCAGCCCAGCUCCUUCUCUCUCUAUUUUUUCCCUUAAACCAGAGGGAAUUCCUAAUAAAGCCACCGCGGACUCGCAGAAAGACGGGGGAGGGAAAAGGCGCCAGGGACGGGAAGAGGCGGGUGGAACCUGCGGGGCUCCGAGGCCCACGAGGAAACGCGUGUGCGCAACCGGCCCGCAUCCCACGCCGCACAGAGCCCGGCGUCCGGCCCGCGCUCUCCUCCUGCCCGCGGUGCUGUGUGCGCGGGCGUGCACGGGCUGGCACCUUCGCGGGGUGACCCUCCCCUCCCCUGGGCUGUGCUUUUUCAAAGCACCGUGACACAGAGCUGGAACCGCGGGACGCCGGCUGCACCCUCCGUGCUCACCGAAGCCACCUCCACCCCGCCCACCCUGCUCCGUGCUCUGCAGACGGCCUCUGCGUCCCUGGGCCUCUCCGGCCACAUCUGGACGAACACGUUUUGAGCAUCACCUAUGUACCGAGCGCUAUGCCAGGUAUGCAGAGGGAUGGAUGCGGCGUCUCUCCAGGCGUUUACCGUCUGGAAGGGGAUGCGUACAGUCAGAGAAGACCGGAUCCGUCUUUCCGGAAACGUUUUCUAAGCGCUGUGCUACACUCAGGUCCCCUUCCAGGUCCCUGAUGGCCAGCGGCCCCGAAGCCCGCCGCUUUUUUCCUCCCGAUGGUAAGGAAUUUGAGGACGAGGUCCGAUCUCGCAUCCUCAUCAUGCCUAGCUCAGGAGUAAGUGCCGGGAAAACGCGUUUUCAAUGCAGGGAAGGAAAAAAGCGGGAGGCGGGGAAAUGCGAAGGAGAAAUUCUCUGACUCCUGGGGUAAUGGAUACCCGAACGUGAACGGAACUGGAGAGAAGCCCAGGACCGCCGUUUCCUCUGAGAGCCAGCCGCGGGGGUGGCCGUGGUGGCCGCAGCUCGAGCUGCCCUUGGAGACGGAACCAGAGCGUCUCCGCGUGGACGCUGCCGGGGCGGGGCGGGAGAGCACUGCAGAAGGCCCCGCCCCGCUCCGGGUGACCUGGGCGUCGGGAGGUUGGGCCGGCUAGACAAGGGCCGGGGCCAAAAGCAAACCUGCGAGACAGCUGCCCCUGUCCCCCCUCAGACGCCUCGUUAUUGUCUUUUCCCUUCCCUCCUGGCUUAAGGGACCAAAACCCAACUCCACGGCGAGAAGCGAGUUGUCCUGAGAAUGUAAAUUAGGUGAAUGUAGAUCCCAAUUCACAAAGGACAGAACGUUCACGCCUCUUCUGUCCCGCACUUACCGGGCCGGGUCCACCGCAUCUCUUAAGAUGCGUUUUCUCAGGCAACCACGAGUUUCUAAGGGGAGGGGCUUCUCGCUGAUCCUUCUUUUUGGUAGCAAGUACCCCACAAAUGUUAAUAAAUGGAUAAACAUUUAUCCUUUUUGGAUAAAUAGGUAAAACAGUGUUUCAAUUCAAAAAAUAUUAACUGAGUAUCUCCUGUGUGCUGGGCAUAUAAAUCCUGAUCGCUUUCCAGAAAUUCUUUAAUCUAAUGAGGGGAUCAGAUCGUAAACCAAUAGCUGCAAUAGAAGCUGGUGAGUGCUGGGGGGAGGCUAUGCCCGAAGACGUUAGGGAAACAUGAAGCGUGACGUUUUGCUCGUCGUUGUUGCUCAGACGCUGUUUAGAACAACGUCUACAUCAUCGCUUAGCACUGUAUUAUCUGAACUACAGAGAAACUUUGCACAGGGCCUAGAACGAGAGAAAAAUCCACUUCCCCUAAACGACUGAUCUGUUUCCAACUUUAAAUGUUUUGAAAUUUGAAACUAAUCCCGUUUCCCUUUUUGCUUUGGCUACUAGGAAGCGGAGUCAAAUCUGUAGCUGACCUCUACGAGGUCUGGAAUGAUCAAGAUCCUGGACUAGUUCGAUCCAAGAGUUAAGUAGCUAUUUCCUUAUCAGCAAAGAUCGGGAAGAAAGGACUUAGGCAUUCAGUGUUACACAGUAACGUUCACUUGCGUUUUAUUUUUCUACCUAGAGUUUCUCUCCUAAUUUCCCCAUUUAUUUAGUCUGUCUCUUUGUAUCAUGUGUAUCUUUCGGUGAGCUGUCUGAAUUGCACUUUGAAAUGAGAUGAGCGAUAAAUAAGAUACGUAACAGGUUCCGUUGAUAAACAGAAGACAAUUAUAUCCCUAAUGUAAUCAUCCCCCUCAAAAAGGAAAAUUCAUACAGCCAUUAGGAAAACAGCAGGAAGAAAAUAUAAACACGGGGGAAGCCGGGGACAGACGCUGCGCUAGGGCAGAGCAGUUCAAUUUCUUGGGUAAAACCGUCUUCCUGGCGUCACACCGUUUCCUGAACACUGCAUUUAAGCACAGGAGACCUGCGGUCCCUUCCAGCGCCUGGGGUGAUAUGGUGACGACAGGCCCAGCAAGUGCCACCGUCACCUGGACGUCAUCUGCACCCAGGCCCCUCGCAGCGGCCUGUUCUCUGGGCUAACCUGGCCCCUUGGGAGCGGACGUCCCGUCGUCAACACUGAGGGUGCCACCUAUGGAAAAGGAGCCGUCCUGACAAGCCCUGUACCCGGAGAGACGAGGUGUCUGCUCGUCACUGAGGCCUCCACCUGAACGUCCUCCGAGCAGCCACACCUGGAGUGCGGGCGCACACAGGGGGAACAGGGACCGCAGGACCAGGAGGGUGUGCGAGGACAGACCUGGACCCUGUGUAUGUUCCUAUCAACACCCCGGGGCACCCCCGGCUUCUAAGAAGGAACCAGAGAAGGAGCUGUGUGCACACGCGCGCACACGCGCGAGGGGCAGUCCAGCUUCAGGCCGCCUACGGAAACGAGCCACGCUCGCGGCCGGGAAGCAGGCAGGUAGGUUCUCACGAGGCUGCCGGCAGAGGCCUGAUGGGAAUCAGGGACGGGCCCAAGGAGCACCGGACCGCCGUCCCCACACCGGCAUUCCGCAGCCGGCCACGGCCCAGCGGCUGAGCCUGCGGCCUGAGACUCGGCACCGGAGCUGGACACGGAAACCGACUUGCUUUUCUGGACAACUGAGUAAGAUUCCACAGAACCGUCUUGGAAGAAUCACAAUCUGAAGGGCCAUCGCUCAAUGGGAAUGGAUAUUUUUAUAGAAAAAGCUAUAUUUAGUAAAUUUCCUGAGGAAAAUCUAUUGCAACUCAGCCUCUUGUUACCUGUCUGACUUUAGGUACAUUAUUACACUCUCUGAAUCUCCGCCUCCUCAUCUUAAAAACGGGGGUCGUAAUGGCGGCACUACCUGCCGUUAAGUGGUCUGCACGCACGACUGUCACCACCUGGAGACGGGAGGGCGCCCUGCCCCACAGGGAAGCAGCGUCCCACGCCGGCUGACACUUUCUCUUCAGCCUAAGGUGACGCCAACGCCCUUCUCCCCGCCUGGGCCUGGAGCGCUCCGCCUCCAGAUGCCCUGUGCAGAGUGAACACGCGGGUAAGGGGACAGCUCGACCGUCUCCUGAGCCCGCGCCCCUUCCUCGGUGGACCGGCACUGCGGACAGAUGGCGUCUGCGUUCCAGGAGCCGGGGGGGCCUCCAGGGCUGGCCUGCCCCAGGAACUGGACCGAACCAGCUCCUACACCAGUUCGAUCCAAAGAAACAAGCACCAGCAGGAUGGCGGGGCUGACCGCGGUGAGAAGGCCGUCCCGGGCAUCCCAGAACCCUUAAGGAGGCAGGAGGUCCAAGGGCACAAGGCCUCAGAGAGCGUCAAGAAAGCAUCUCUGUCUGUCUCCCCGCGGCAAGAACCCCAGAGCGGAGAGGUAAAUUCCACACUUCCCCCAGCCUCCCUCAGGCCCCUCGGCGCAGACCACACAGCUUAAGCCGCCCCGGUGAGCAAAUGUCACCGAAGGCCUGCUCGGCGGGUGGUA
Molecule: long non-coding RNA, 3946 nt
Organism: Pteropus alecto (black flying fox)
Lineage: Eukaryota; Metazoa; Chordata; Mammalia; Chiroptera; Pteropodidae
Exons: 3
Source: RefSeq, a predicted model, not a curated record